GGAAGAGUGGCCGAGUGGUUGAUGGCUCCAGUCUUGAAAACUGGCGUACCCGGAAGGGUAUCGGGGGUUCGAAUCCCUCCUCUUCCG
Molecule: transfer RNA, 87 nt
Filed under: Edaphobacter modestus
Lineage: Bacteria; Pseudomonadati; Acidobacteriota; Terriglobia; Terriglobales; Acidobacteriaceae
Rfam family: tRNA
About the family: Transfer RNA (tRNA) molecules are approximately 80 nucleotides in length. Their secondary structure includes four short double-helical elements and three loops (D, anti-codon, and T loops).
Source: Rfam by way of RNAcentral